UCAGGUAACUGUAGCAUGUGGGUUAGCAAUAAUUUUCCACGCUGGUUAGUCUUAAAUUUUUUUCGUGCAAAACGGCGCCGUUUUGUUGUUCAAUAAAACCCAAGCUUUUAGCCUUCAGCCGUAUUGUUUCAUUUUCUAUUUCUCUCUCUCUAAAACGCCCGACCCUUUCUGUUCUUUCUAGAUUGCAGAACACCACAGAAAACAAACUACCACCUGUUCUGCCGUUGAUCACCAGCCGUGAGGACCUUAACAGCAACCUUGCCCGAUUCCUCUUCACCCUCCUUCCCUUCCCUUUUUCUCCUCUUCUGUCUUAAAACCCAAAAACUCCCCAAAAAGACUCAAACCGAAACCCACGGAAAAAACACUUUUAUGUGAUUACUUGUGCUAUCUGUGUCUCGUGAUUGUCUGCUUAAUUUGAGAAUGGAUUUUGGUUCUGGGUAUGAGUUUAGUGCGUUGGUGUUUACUGGUUAUGGGUUUGGUGAUAAACUGAUGGGUUUUACUUCUUUUAGGCUCAAAUUAUGGAUUUUUGUUUUGCCUCUUCGAUUUGUUCUAAUCUUUGUUUGCUCUGUGUUCUGGCUCUGUUCCAAAUUUGGUGGGUAGGAGUUUCUGGAUUCGGUCUCUAUGUGUUUGAUUGAGGCUGUGUAUUGUGGAUUGCUUCCAGCAAUUAAAUUUUCUGUGGGUUUCUCUGCUAGUUUUCCAAUUCUGGUUUUGUGAAAUUUCUGUUUGUGGUUGCUUCUCUGUUGAAUUACUAGUUGGCUUGGUUCUUGAUUGUGUGCCAAUUGCUCACUGCCUAACCUUUGUUUGUUUAUGUUCUGAUUCUUGGUUGGCUGCUUUUGGAAUUGGUGUUUGAUUGCUUCCUCUGGUUUGCACGGCUAUUGAAUGUUUGCAUUUUUUUGUCGAAUUGAUUCCUCAGUUGUUUCUCGACUUCUUUGUUAAUUGCUCGAUGCUUCUUUUCUGCUUAUUGGUUUGCAGUUGCUUCUGAAACACCAAACUUUUGCUACUAACUGUAUUGAUCAUGAAAUCCUAUGUGGCCCCGUUUGAUCACAAAUUUAAGGUCUUUAUAUAAAAGAUUGAAAUCUCAAUUCAAGUUGAACAAGCAUUAACCUUACUGAAUAUGCACAGAUUUUCAGGACUUUAUUUUUAUGCAAUCUUUCCUUUUUCAAUGGAUUAGCUUCCAAAUAUUUUUGUAGGCAAUGAAUCAAUAAAUUCCAGAAUUGAAAAUCAAAUCCAAGACCAAAUUUGUCAAUUUCCUUUCGCAAAUUAAACUGUUUCUUCCAUAAGUUUUCUGAC
Molecule: long non-coding RNA, 1290 nt
Filed under: Durio zibethinus
Lineage: Eukaryota; Viridiplantae; Streptophyta; Magnoliopsida; Malvales; Malvaceae
Description: long non-coding RNA (DZIB_LNC002234)
Source: RNAcentral